RNAcentral lists this ribosomal RNA (425 nucleotides) under uncultured bacterium. RNAcentral's name for it is "bacterial SSU rRNA". It matches the Rfam family "Bacterial small subunit ribosomal RNA", at positions 354 to 796 of the family's 1533-position model. The record is from RNAcentral.
GUGGGGAAUAUUGGACAAUGGGCGAAAGCCUGAUCCAGCAAUGCCGCGUGAGUGAUGAAGGCCUUAGGGUUGUAAAGCUCUUUUACCAGGGAUGAUAAUGACAGUACCUGGAGAAUAAGCUCCGGCUAACUCCGUGCCAGCAGCCGCGGUAAUACGGAGGGAGCUAGCGUUGUUCGGAAUUACUGGGCGUAAAGCGCACGUAGGCGGUUACUCAAGUCAGAGGUGAAAGCCCGGGGCUCAACCCCGGAACUGCCUUUGAAACUAGGUAACUAGAAUCUUGGAGAGGUCAGUGGAAUUCCGAGUGUAGAGGUGAAAUUCGUAGAUAUUCGGAAGAACACCAGUGGCGAAGGCGACUGACUGGACAAGUAUUGACGCUGAGGUGCGAAAGCGUGGGGAGCAAACAGGAUUAGAAACCCGUGUAGUCC